GGAUUGUGGCUCAGCGGUAGAGCGCUUGCCUCGCAUGUGGGAGACCCUGGGUUCGAUCAUCAGCACCA
This 68-nucleotide transfer RNA is filed under the name Marmota monax (woodchuck). RNAcentral's name for it is "tRNA.Ala". The record is from RNAcentral. Lineage: Eukaryota; Metazoa; Chordata; Mammalia; Rodentia; Sciuridae.